RNAcentral lists this ribosomal RNA (1989 nucleotides) under Drosophila melanogaster (fruit fly). RNAcentral describes it as "SSU rRNA". It matches the Rfam family "Eukaryotic small subunit ribosomal RNA". Lineage: Eukaryota; Metazoa; Arthropoda; Insecta; Diptera; Drosophilidae. The record is from RNAcentral.
UCUGGUUGAUCCUGCCAGUAGUUAUAUGCUUGUCUCAAAGAUUAAGCCAUGCAUGUCUAAGUACACACGAAUUAAAAGUGAAACCGCAAAAGGCUCAUUAUAUCAGUUAUGGUUCCUUAGAUCGUUAACAGUUACUUGGAUAACUGUGGUAAUUCUAGAGCUAAUACAUGCAAUUAAAACAUGAACCUUAUGGGACAUGUGCUUUUAUUAGGCUAAAACCAAGCGAUCGCAAGAUCGUUAUAUUGGUUGAACUCUAGAUAACAUGCAGAUCGUAUGGUCUUGUACCGACGACAGAUCUUUCAAAUGUCUGCCCUAUCAACUUUUGAUGGUAGUAUCUAGGACUACCAUGGUUGCAACGGGUAACGGGGAAUCAGGGUUCGAUUCCGGAGAGGGAGCCUGAGAAACGGCUACCACAUCUAAGGAAGGCAGCAGGCGCGUAAAUUACCCACUCCCAGCUCGGGGAGGUAGUGACGAAAAAUAACAAUACAGGACUCAUAUCCGAGGCCCUGUAAUUGGAAUGAGUACACUUUAAAUCCUUUAACAAGGACCAAUUGGAGGGCAAGUCUGGUGCCAGCAGCCGCGGUAAUUCCAGCUCCAAUAGCGUAUAUUAAAGUUGUUGCGGUUAAAACGUUCGUAGUUGAACUUGUGCUUCAUACGGGUAGUACAACUUACAAUUGUGGUUAGUACUAUACCUUUAUGUAUGUAAGCGUAUUACCGGUGGAGUUCUUAUAUGUGAUUAAAUACUUGUAUCUUUUUCAUAUGUUCCUCCUAUUUAAAAACCUGCAUUAGUGCUCUUAAACGAGUGUUAUUGUGGGCCGGUACUAUUACUUUGAACAAAUUAGAGUGCUUAAAGCAGGCUUCAAAUGCCUGAAUAUUCUGUGCAUGGGAUAAUGAAAUAAGACCUCUGUUCUGCUUUCAUUGGUUUUCAGAUCAAGAGGUAAUGAUUAAUAGAAGCAGUUUGGGGGCAUUAGUAUUACGACGCGAGAGGUGAAAUUCUUGGACCGUCGUAAGACUAACUUAAGCGAAAGCAUUUGCCAAAGAUGUUUUCAUUAAUCAAGAACGAAAGUUAGAGGUUCGAAGGCGAUCAGAUACCGCCCUAGUUCUAACCAUAAACGAUGCCAGCUAGCAAUUGGGUGUAGCUACUUUUAUGGCUCUCUCAGUCGCUUCCCGGGAAACCAAAGCUUUUGGGCUCCGGGGGAAGUAUGGUUGCAAAGCUGAAACUUAAAAGGAAUUGACGGAAGGGCACCACCAGGAGUGGAGCCUGCGGCUUUAAUUUGACUCAACACGGGAAAACUUACCAGGUCCGAACAUAAGUGUGUAAGACAGAUUGAUAGCUCUUUCUCGAAUCUAUGGGUGGUGGUGCAUGGCCGUUCUUAGUUCGUGGAGUGAUUUGUCUGGUUAAUUCCGAUAACGAACGAGACUCAAAUAUAUUAAAUAGAUAUCUUCAGGAUUAUGGUGCUGAAGCUUAUGUAGCCUUCAUUCAUGUUGGCAGUAAAAUGCUUAUUGUGUUUGAAUGUGUUUAUGUAAGUGGAGCCGUACCUGUUGGUUUGUCCCAUUAUAAGGACACUAGCUUCUUAAAUGGACAAAUUGCGUCUAGCAAUAAUGAGAUUGAGCAAUAACAGGUCUGUGAUGCCCUUAGAUGUCCUGGGCUGCACGCGCGCUACAAUGAAAGUAUCAACGUGUAUUUCCUAGACCGAGAGGUCCGGGUAAACCGCUGAACCACUUUCAUGCUUGGGAUUGUGAACUGAAACUGUUCACAUGAACUUGGAAUUCCCAGUAAGUGUGAGUCAUUAACUCGCAUUGAUUACGUCCCUGCCCUUUGUACACACCGCCCGUCGCUACUACCCGAUUGAAUUAUUUAGUGAGGUCUCCGGACGUGAUCACUGUGACGCCUUGCGUGUUACGGUUGUUUCGCAAAAGUUGACCGAACUUGAUUAUUUAGAGGAAGUAAAAGUCGUAACAAGGUUUCCGUAGGUGAACCUGCGGAAG